CAGCAAGGCAGAAAAACAUGAAUACUGCUUAAAAUCGGCUCCUUUCAGAUCUACACGGGUGUCUAGAGACAGUACUGGCUAGGAGCUGAUCAGGUGUGUGUAGAGAAAGUACUGGCUAGGGGCUGAUCAGGUGUGUGUAGAGAAAGUACUGGCUAGGGGCUAAUCAGGUGUGUCUAGAGACAGUACUGGCUAGGGGCUGAUCAGGUGUGUGUAGAGAAAGUACUGGCUAGGGGCUAAUCAGGUGUGUCUAGAGACAGUACUGGCUAGGGGCUGAUCAGGUGUGUGUAGAGACAGUACUGGCUAGGGGCUGAUCAGGUGUGUGUAGAGACAGUACUGGCUAGGGGCUGAUCAGGUGUGUGUAGAGACAGUACUGGCUAGGGGCUGAUCAGGUGUGUGUAGAGACAGUACUGGCUAGGGGCUGAUCAGGUGUGUGUAGAGACAGUACUGGCUAGGGGCUGAUCAGGUGUGUGUAGAGACAGUACUGGCUAGGGGCUGAUCAGGUGUGUGUAGAGACAGUACUGGCUAGGGGCUGAUCAGGUGUGUGUAGAGACAGUACUGGCUAGGGGCUGAUCAGGUGUGUGUAGACAGUACUGGCUAGGGGCUGAUCAGGUGUGUGUAGAGACAGUACUGGCUAGGGGCUGAUCAGGUGUGUGUAGAGACAGUACUGGCUAGGGGCUGAUCAGGUGUGUGUAGAGACAGUACUGGCUAGGGGCUGAUCAGGUGUGUGUAGAGACAGUACUGGCUAGGGGCUGAUCAGGUGUGUGUAGAGACAGUACUGGCUAGGGGCUGAUCAGGUGUGUGUAGAGACAGUACUGGCUAGGGGCUGAUCAGGUGUGUGUAGAGACAGUACUGGCUAGGGGCUGAUCAGGUGUGUGUAGAGACAGUACUGGCUAGGGGCUGAUCAGGUGUGUGUAGAGACAGUACUGGCUAGGGGCUGAUCAGGUGUGUGUAGAGACAGUACUGGCUAGGGGCUGAUCAGGUGUGUGUAGAGACAGUACUGGCUAGGGGCUGAUCAGGUGUGUGUAGAGACAGUACUGGCUAGGGGCUGAUCAGGUGUGUGUAGAGACAGUACUGGCUAGGGGCUGAUCAGGUGUGUGUAGAGACAGUACUGGCUAGGGGCUGAUCAGGUGUGUGUAGAGACAGUACUGGCUAGGGGCUGAUCAGGUGUGUGUAGAGACAGUACUGGCUAGGGGCUGAUCAGGUGUGUGUAGAGACAGUACUGGCUAGGGCUGAU
Long non-coding RNA from Oncorhynchus keta (chum salmon), 1234 nucleotides. RefSeq lists it as uncharacterized. The record is from RefSeq and is a predicted model, not a curated record. The transcript is spliced from 8 exons. NCBI's taxonomy places the organism in Eukaryota, Metazoa, Chordata, Actinopteri, Salmoniformes, Salmonidae.